This 1052-nucleotide unclassified non-coding RNA is filed under the name Faucicola atlantae. RNAcentral's name for it is "Moraxella atlantae miscellaneous RNA". The stretch from base 717 to 1052 matches the Rfam family "Bacterial large subunit ribosomal RNA", at positions 1 to 398 of the family's 2925-position model. The record is from RNAcentral. Lineage: Bacteria; Pseudomonadati; Pseudomonadota; Gammaproteobacteria; Moraxellales; Moraxellaceae.
GUCGUAACAAGGUAGCCGUAGGGGAACCUGCGGCUGGAUCACCUCCUUAACGAAAGUGACUGGGUGAGAAUUCACAGCAAGUUGGUCUUGUGUUUUAAGAAGCUAACGUAGCGUAAGAGAAUAGCAAAGUCUUUUAGAGUUACGACCAAAAAACUUAUCCAAAAGUUUUUUGGCUCGAAGCUAAAAUUGCGAUGCAAUUUUUAACGCUUCUCGGGGUCUAUAGCUCAGUUGGUUAGAGCACCGUGUUGAUAACGCGGGGGUCAUAAGUUCAAGUCUUAUUAGACCCACCAAUAUAACCAGAGGACACCAAAAAACUUAUCCAAAAGUUUUUUGGCUCGAAGCUAAAAUUGCGAUGCAAUUUUUUAACGCUUCUCGGGGCCAUAGCUCAGUUGGUAGAGCGCCUGCCUUGCACGCAGGAGGUCAGGAGUUCGACUCUCCUUGGCUCCACCAAGCUGUUACAGCAAACAGGAUACUGACGACAGUAAAUUGUUUAGUGUAACAACACGAAUUUACCUGACGAAGGUAAAUUAACUCAAUAACAACAUAGAGAAAUGAGUCUGGGUUAAUGAUAUCCAACGAAUCAUUAACCACAAAGGCUACAGAUAGAACUGGACAUAGCGAUAUAGAAAGUUAGCACUGUAGCCAAGUAAAGAGAACUGAAUCAAGCGUAAACAAAGGUGGACGUUGUUACGACAUACGACCGAUUAGGGUUGUAUAGUCAAGUGAAUAAGUGCACACGGUGGAUGCCUUGGCAGUCAGAGGCGAAGAAAGACGUGACAGCCUGCGAAAAGCGUCGGGGAGGCGGCAAUAUCCUGUGAUCCGGCGAUAUCUGAAUGGGGAAACCCACUUGCCAGAAGGCAAGUAUCGUAACUAAUACGAAGCGAACCGGGAGAAGUGAAACAUCUCAGUACCCCGAGGAAAAGACAUCAAAAGAGAUUCCCCCAGUAGCGGCGAGCGAACGGGGAGGAGCCGACGAAUUUAGACGUAGAGGAAUCACCUGGAAAGGUGAAUCAUAGAGGGUGACAAUCCCGUACUCGAAACGUUUAGAUAAG